UACGGAAGGCAGCAGUGGGGAAUAUUGCACAAUGGGCGCAAGCCUGAUGCAGCCAUGCCGCGUGUAUGAAAAAGGCCUUCGGGUUGUAAAGUACUUUCAGUCGUGAGGAAGGUGUUAAGGUUAAUAACCUUAGCAAUUGACGUUAGCGACAGAAGAAGCACCGGCUAACUCCGUGCCAGCAGCCGCGGUAAUACGGAGGGUGCGAGCGUUAAUCGGAAUUACUGGGCGUAAAGGGCACGCAGGCGGUUAAUUAAGUUGGAUGUGAAAUCCCCGGGCUUAACCUGGGAAUGGCAUUCAAGACUGGUUAGCUAGAGUCUUGUAGAGGGGGUAGAAUUCCAUGUGUAGCGGUGAAAUGCGUAGAGAUGUGGAGGAAUACCGGUGGCGAAGGCGGCCCCUGGACAAACGACUGACGCUCAUGUGCGAAAGCGUGGGGAGCAAACAGGGAUUAGAUACC
RNAcentral lists this ribosomal RNA (454 nucleotides) under uncultured bacterium. RNAcentral's name for it is "bacterial SSU rRNA". It matches the Rfam family "Bacterial small subunit ribosomal RNA", at positions 340 to 786 of the family's 1533-position model. The record is from RNAcentral.